Molecule: ribosomal RNA, 402 nt
Filed under: uncultured bacterium
Lineage: Bacteria
Description: bacterial SSU rRNA
Rfam family: Bacterial small subunit ribosomal RNA
Source: RNAcentral
GGGAAUAUUGCACAAUGGGCGAAAGCCUGAUGCAGCGACGCCGCGUGAGUGAAGAAGUAUCUCGGUAUGUAAAGCUCUAUCAGCAGGGAAGAAAAUGACGGUACCUGACUAAGAAGCCACGGCUAACUACGUUCCAGCAGCCGCGGUAAUACGUAGGGGGCAAGCGUUAUCCGGAUUUACUGGGUGUAAAGGGAGCGUAGACGGCGACGCAAGUCUGGAGUGAAAGCCCGGGGCCCAACCCCGGGACUGCUUUGGAAACUGUGCUGCUGGAGUGCAGGAGAGGUAAGUGGAAUUCCUAGUGUAGCGGUGAAAUGCGUAGAUAUUAGGAGGAACACCAGUGGCGAAGGCGGCUUACUGGACUGUAACUGACGUUGAGGCUCGAAAGCGUGGGGAGCAAACAGG